UACGAAGGGUGCAAGCGUUACUCGGAAUUACUGGGCGUAAAGGGCGCGUAGGCGGCCUGCUAAGUCGAACGUGAAAUCCCCGGGCUCAACCCGGGAACUGCGUCCGAUACUGACAGGCUUGAAUCCGGGAGAGGGAUGUGGAAUUCCAGGUGUAGCGGUGAAAUGCGUAGAUAUCUGGAGGAACAUCGGUGGCGAAGGCGGCAUCCUGGACCGGUAUUGACGCUGAGGCGCGAAAGCCAGGGGAGCAAACGGG
This 253-nucleotide ribosomal RNA is filed under the name uncultured bacterium. RNAcentral's name for it is "partial 16S ribosomal RNA". It matches the Rfam family "Bacterial small subunit ribosomal RNA", at positions 524 to 776 of the family's 1533-position model. The record is from RNAcentral.